This 253-nucleotide ribosomal RNA is filed under the name uncultured bacterium. RNAcentral describes it as "partial 16S ribosomal RNA". It matches the Rfam family "Bacterial small subunit ribosomal RNA", at positions 524 to 776 of the family's 1533-position model. The record is from RNAcentral.
UACGGGGGGGGCAAGCGUUGUUCGGAAUUACUGGGCGUAAAGGGCUUGUAGGUGGCCAACUAAGUCAGACGUGAAAUCCCUCGGCUUAACCGGGGAACUGCGUCUGAUACUGGAUGGCUGGAGUGUGGGAGAGGGAUGCGGAAUUCCAGGUGUAGCGGUGAAAUGCGUAGAUAUCUGGAGGAACACCGGUGGCGAAGGCGGCAGCCUGGACCAUUACUGACACUGAAAAGCGAAAGCCAGGGGAGCAAACGGG